GGGUCAGUAGGUUGGUCGUGCCACCGGUACGUACUGGUCUAACUAAUUCCUCCUUCCUGAAGAACCGUAAUGCCAUUAAUUUGGUGUUGCGGGGAAACAGGACUGUUACUUUGAAAAAAUUAGAGUGUUUAAAGCAAGCUAACGCUUGAAUACAUUAGCAUGGAAUAAUGAAAUAGGACGAUCGAUCCUAUUUUGUUGGUUUCUAGGAUUGACGUA
RNAcentral lists this ribosomal RNA (216 nucleotides) under Glomeromycotina sp. RNAcentral's name for it is "partial small subunit ribosomal RNA". The stretch from base 40 to 216 matches the Rfam family "Eukaryotic small subunit ribosomal RNA", at positions 686 to 864 of the family's 1831-position model. Lineage: Eukaryota; Fungi; Glomeromycota. The record is from RNAcentral.